This 492-nucleotide ribosomal RNA is filed under the name uncultured bacterium. RNAcentral describes it as "partial 16S ribosomal RNA". It matches the Rfam family "Bacterial small subunit ribosomal RNA", at positions 30 to 507 of the family's 1533-position model. The record is from RNAcentral.
AUUGAACGCUGGCGGCAUGCUUUACACAUGCAAGUCGAACGGUAAAAGGCCUUCGGGUGCUGACGAGUGGCGCACGGGUGAGUAAUGCAUCGGAACGUGCCCAGAGGUGGGGGAUAACGCAGCGAAAGCUGUGCUAAUACCGCAUGUGAUCUGAGGAUGAAAGAGGGGGACCAAGCAGCAAUGUUUGGCCUCGCGCCUCUGGAGCGGCCGAUGUCAGAUUAGGUAGUUGGUGGGGUAAAGGCCUACCAAGCCGACGAUCUGUAGCUGGUCUGAGAGGACGACCAGCCACACUGGGACUGAGACACGGCCCAGACUCCUACGGGAGGCAGCAGUGGGGAAUUUUGGACAAUGGGCGCAAGCCUGAUCCAGCAAUGCCGCGUGCGGGAAGAAGGCCUUCGGGUUGUAAACCGCUUUUGUACGGAACGAAAAGGCUCUGGCUAAUACCUGGGGCUGAUGACGGUACCGUAAGAAUAAGCACCGGCUAACUACGUG